Molecule: ribosomal RNA, 454 nt
Filed under: uncultured bacterium
Lineage: Bacteria
Description: partial 16S ribosomal RNA
Rfam family: Bacterial small subunit ribosomal RNA
Source: RNAcentral
GAUGAACGCUGGCAGAAUGCUUAACACAUGCAAGUCAACUUGAACUUCGGUUUGGGUGGCGGACGGGUGAGUAACGCGUAAAGAACUUGCCUCACAGUUAGGGACAACAUUUGGAAACGAAUGCUAAUACCUGAUAUUAUGAUUUUAGGGCAUCCUAGAAUUAUGAAAGCUAUAUGCGCUGUGAGAGAGCUUUGCGUCCCAUUAGCUAGUUGGAGAGGUAACGGCUCACCAAGGCGAUGAUGGGUAGCCGGCCUGAGAGGGUGAACGGCCACAAGGGGACUGAGACACGGCCCUUACUCCUACGGGAGGCAGCAGUGGGGAAUAUUGGACAAUGGACCAAGAGUCUGAUCCAGCAAUUCUGUGUGCACGAUGAAGUUUUUCGGAAUGUAAAGUGCUUUCAGUUGGGAAGAAAAAAAUGACGAUACCAACAGAAGAAGUGACGGCUAAAUACGUG